GUUGACCUCGGAUCAGGUAGGAAUACCCGCUGAACUUAAGCAUAUCAAUAAGCGGAGGAAAAGAAACCAACAGGGAUUGCCUCAGUAACGGCGAGUGAAGCGGCAACAGCUCAAAUUUGAAAUCUGGCCCUCGGGUCCGAGUUGUAAUUUGUAGAGGAUGUUUCGGGCACCGUCGCGGUGUAAAUUUCUUGGAACAGAAUGUCAUAGAGGGUGAGAUCCCCGUCUGCCACCGCGAUAGGACCCAUGUGAAACUCCUUCGACGAGUCGAGUUGUUUGGGAAUGCAGCUCAAAAUGGGUGGUAAAUUUCAUCUAAAGCUAAAUAUUGGCCAGAGACCGAUAGCGCACAAGUAGAGUGAUCGAAAGAUGAAAAGCACUUUGAAAAGAGAGUUAAACAGUAUGUGAAAUUGUUGAAAGGGAAGCGCAGGCAAUCAGACUCGAGCGCGGAGUUCCCCCUGGCUUCUGCCAGGGUCACUUCUCCGUGACCGGGCCAACAUCAGUUUGAGGGGCCGGUUAAAGGCCCUGGGAAUGUAUCCAUCCCUUCGGGGUUGGACUUAUAGCUCAGGGUGUCAUGCGGCCUCCUCGGACUGAGGAACGCGCUUCGGCGAGGAUGUUGGCGUAAUGGUUGUCUGCGACCCGUCUUGAAACACGGACCAAGGAGUCUAACAUCUAUGCGAGUGUUAGGGUGUCAAACCCUGGCGCGGAAUGAAAGUGAACGGAGGUAGGAAGCCUUAAGGCUGCACUAUCGACCGAUCCUGAUGUCUUCGGAUGGAUUUGAGUAAGAGCAUAGCUGUUGGGACCCGAAAGAUGGUGAACUAUGCGUGAAUAGGGUGAAGCCAGAGGAAACUCUGGUGGAGGCUCGCAGCGGUUCUGACGUGCAAAUCGAUCGUCAAAUUUGCGUAUAGGGGCGAAAGACUAAUCGAACCAUCUGGUAGCUGGUUCCUGC
Molecule: ribosomal RNA, 943 nt
Filed under: Strelitziana africana
Lineage: Eukaryota; Fungi; Ascomycota; Eurotiomycetes; Chaetothyriales; Trichomeriaceae
Description: eukaryotic LSU rRNA
Rfam family: Eukaryotic large subunit ribosomal RNA
Source: RNAcentral